CGACGAGCAUCGCGCUCGUUGCGGGGUCGAGCCGAUCUGCAGCGCGCUGCAGGUCGCCCCG
This is a non-coding RNA of Variovorax sp. WDL1, 61 nucleotides long. The record is from Rfam. Lineage: Bacteria; Pseudomonadati; Pseudomonadota; Betaproteobacteria; Burkholderiales; Comamonadaceae.